RNAcentral lists this ribosomal RNA (468 nucleotides) under uncultured bacterium. RNAcentral describes it as "partial 16S ribosomal RNA". It matches the Rfam family "Bacterial small subunit ribosomal RNA", at positions 28 to 507 of the family's 1533-position model. The record is from RNAcentral.
GACGAACGCUGGCGGCGUGCUUAACACAUGCAAGUCGAACGGAAAGGCCCUGCUUUUGUGGGGUGCUCGAGUGGCGAACGGGUGAGUAGCACGUGAGUAACCUGCCCUUGACUUUGGGAUAACUUCAGGAAACUGGGGCUAAUACCGGAUAGGAGCUCCUGCUGCAUGGUGGGGGUUGGAAAGUUUCGGCGGUUGGGGAUGGACUCGCGGCUUAUCAGCUUGUUGGUGGGGUAGUGGCUUACCAAGGCUUUGACGGGUAGCCGGCCUGAGAGGGUGACCGGCCACAUUGGGGCUGAGAUACGGCCCAGACUCCUACGGGAGGCAGCAGUGGGGAAUAUUGCACAAUGGGCGGAAGCCUGAUGCAGCAACGCCGCGUGCGGGAUGACGGCCUUCGGGUUGUAAACCGCUUUCGCCUGUGACGAAGCGUGAGUGACGGUAAUGGGUAAAGAAGCACCGGCUAACUACGUG